Molecule: ribosomal RNA, 253 nt
Filed under: uncultured bacterium
Lineage: Bacteria
Description: partial 16S ribosomal RNA
Rfam family: Bacterial small subunit ribosomal RNA
Source: RNAcentral
UACGUAGGGUGCAAGCGUUGUCCGGAAUUAUUGGGCGUAAAGGGCUCGUAGGCGGUCCAUCGCGUCGGGAGUGAAAAGCUGGGGCUUAACCCCAGUCCUGCUUCCGAUACGGGUGGACUAGAGGUAGGUAGGGGAGAUCGGAAUUCCUGGUGUAGCGGUGAAAUGCGUAGAUAUCAGGAGGAACACCAACGGCGAAGGCAGCUUGCUGGGACGGUACUGACGCUGAGAUGCGAAAGCGUGGGGAGCAAACAGG